RNAcentral lists this ribosomal RNA (460 nucleotides) under uncultured bacterium. RNAcentral describes it as "partial 16S ribosomal RNA". It matches the Rfam family "Bacterial small subunit ribosomal RNA", at positions 338 to 795 of the family's 1533-position model. The record is from RNAcentral.
CCUACGGGUGGCAGCAGUGAGGAAUAUUGGUCAAUGGGCGUAAGCCUGAACCAGCCAAGUCGCGUGAGGGAUGAAGGUUCUAUGGAUCGUAAACCUCUUUUAUAAGGGAAUAAAGUGUGGGACGUGUCCUAUUUUGUAUGUACCUUAUGAAUAAGGAUCGGCUAACUCCGUGCCAGCAGCCGCGGUAAUACGGAGGAUCCGAGCGUUAUCCGGAUUUAUUGGGUUUAAAGGGAGCGUAGGCCGGCUUUUAAGUCAGCUGUGAAAGUCCGCGGCUCAACCGUGGAAUUGCAGUUGAAACUGGAGGCCUUGAGUGCACACAGGGAUGCCGGAAUUCAUGGUGUAGCGGUGAAAUGCUUAGAUAUCAUGAAGAACUCCGAUCGCGAAGGCAAGUGUCCGGGGUGCAACUGACGCUGAGGCUCGAAAGUGCGGGUAUCAAACAGGAUUAGAUACCCCAGUAGUC